Molecule: long non-coding RNA, 455 nt
Organism: Oncorhynchus tshawytscha (Chinook salmon)
Lineage: Eukaryota; Metazoa; Chordata; Actinopteri; Salmoniformes; Salmonidae
Source: Ensembl
GACAGUGAGUCUGGAGAGGGUGUAGGAGACAGUGAGGCUGGAGAGGGUGUAGGAGACAGUGAGAAUGGAGACGGUGUAGGAGACAGUGAGGAUGGAGAGGGUGUAGGAGACAGUGAGGAUGGAGAGGGUGUAGGAGACAGUGAGACUGGAGAGGGUGUAGGAGACAGUGAGACUGGAGAGGGUGUAGGAGACAGUGAGGUUGGAGAGGGUAUAGGAGACAGUGAGGAUGGAGAGGGUGGGGGAGACAGUGAGGCUGGAGAGGGUGGAGGAGACAGUCAGGAUGGACAGGGUGUAGGAGACAGUGAGACUGGAGAGGGUGUAGGAGACAGUGAGGAUGGAGAGGGUGUAGGAGACAGUGAGGCUGGAGAGGGUGUAGGAGACAGUGAGGAUGGAGAGGGUGUAGGAGACAGUGGGGAUGGAGAGGGUGUAGGAGACAGUGAGGAUGGAGAGGGUGA